GACGAACGCUGGCGGCGUGCCUAAUACAUGCAAGUAGAACGCACAGUUUAUACCGUAGCUUGCUACACCAUAGACUGUGAGUUGCGAACGGGUGAGUAACGCGUAGGUAACCUGCCUGGUAGCGGGGGAUAACUAUUGGAAACGAUAGCUAAUACCGCAUAAUAUUGAUUAUUGCAUGAUAAUUGAUUGAAAGAUGCUAUUGCAUCACUACCAGAUGGACCUGCGUUGUAUUAGCUAGUAGGUGAGGUAACGGCUCACCUAGGCGACGAUACAUAGCCGACCUGAGAGGGUGAUCGGCCACCCUGGGACUGAGACACGGCCCAGACUCCUACGGGAGGCAGCAGUAGGGAAUCUUCGGCAAGGGACGAAAGUCUGACCGGGGAACGCCGCGUGGGUGAAGAAGGUUUUCGGAUCGUAAAGCUCUGUUGUAAGAGAAGAACGGGUGUGAGAGUGGAAAGUUCACACUGUGACGGUAUCUUACCAGAAAGGGACGGCUAACUACGUG
This 505-nucleotide ribosomal RNA is filed under the name uncultured bacterium. Its description in RNAcentral is "partial 16S ribosomal RNA". It matches the Rfam family "Bacterial small subunit ribosomal RNA", at positions 28 to 507 of the family's 1533-position model. The record is from RNAcentral.